RNAcentral lists this transfer RNA (72 nucleotides) under Camelus bactrianus (Bactrian camel). It matches the Rfam family "tRNA". Rfam says of the family: Transfer RNA (tRNA) molecules are approximately 80 nucleotides in length. Their secondary structure includes four short double-helical elements and three loops (D, anti-codon, and T loops). Further hydrogen bonds mediate the characteristic L-shaped molecular structure. tRNAs have two regions of fundamental functional importance: the anti-codon, which is responsible for specific mRNA codon recognition, and the 3' end, to which the tRNAs corresponding amino acid is attached (by aminoacyl-tRNA synthetases). tRNAs cope with the degeneracy of the genetic code in two manners: having more than one tRNA (with a specific anti-codon) for a particular amino acid; and 'wobble' base-pairing, i.e. permitting non-standard base-pairing at the 3rd anti-codon position. RNAcentral also lists the same sequence under 2 other names. The record is from Rfam by way of RNAcentral. Lineage: Eukaryota; Metazoa; Chordata; Mammalia; Artiodactyla; Camelidae.
AAGGGUAUAGCUCAGUGGCAGAGUGUGUGCUUAGCAUACACAAGGUCCUGGGUUCAAUCCCCAGUACCUCCA